AUAUAUACACACACACACACACACACACACACACACAAUAUUGAGAACACAAAAUUCAGCCAGUGUUAAAUAUGUAUAAAGGCCCCUCCAAAGUGGUGUGUGUGUGUGUGUGUGUGUGUGUGUGUGUGUGUGU
RNAcentral lists this microRNA precursor (133 nucleotides) under Podarcis lilfordi (Lilford's wall lizard). The record is from RNAcentral. Lineage: Eukaryota; Metazoa; Chordata; Lepidosauria; Squamata; Lacertidae.